CAUCUCGCACACCAUUAGCGGUCAGCUGAGAGGUGGCUGAUCUGUGCCAAGGCCUGCUCUGGGGAGCCAGCGAGGUUGGCCUGUUCAGAGGAGGUGAUCCUUAAAUUGAAUUGCAGCCCUCCAAGGCGUGUUUGGAUGUCAAGCACUGCCAUGAUCUGACAUGUUAAUGGCUUUGAGAAAACAAUGUGUUUCAGAGGCGCACAGAGUUUCUAAGAAAAUUACAUUCCUCAUGCCUGAUAAUCAGCAACAAAGACGACACGCCAGAGGAGUCUCCCACCAAAUGACCCAUGGUUGUCUUCAGAAAGUUCAAGGCCUGAUGAUGUGUUUAUGACUUCAGCGCAGGACCUCCGAUAUCCCAAGGGCAAGUGGAUGGCAUUUCUUUCCUCUCUUGUGGCCUUCGGUUUUGCAGCAGACUAACCAGCCAGGCUUGUCUUCUUCAGUGCAUGGGCUGGUAGUAGGGGAGCUGCUGGCUUAGAAGUGUUUUGGCCUCAAUACUGGACAAAUUUUGUAUUGCUCGAUCAUUGAAAGUGGCUCUGAGCACAGUAAGCUUGACAAAGCUGCUCUGGUUGGGUGAUACCCUUGGCUACGUUGGCAUGAUGACAAGACAACAGUUACUAGUCUUAAUAAGCUCUUAGGCCUACACAGAAGGGAUUUUGAAUAAUAUACAAGCCAAUAAUAGAAUCGUCAAUAGCGAUUAUAAUUACUGAAAUGUGUUGUCAGUAACAGGGGGCUGUUUAGCGGUGCCUCCUUGGCAAUAUGCUCGGGAAGGAAGCUGUGCUGUGGAACUUCAGGUAUGGUGGAGAAUGCAAACCUAGGUGUGACAGGCGUGU
Molecule: long non-coding RNA, 830 nt
Organism: Oxyura jamaicensis (ruddy duck)
Lineage: Eukaryota; Metazoa; Chordata; Aves; Anseriformes; Anatidae
Exons: 3
Source: RefSeq, a predicted model, not a curated record